This 498-nucleotide ribosomal RNA is filed under the name uncultured bacterium. RNAcentral describes it as "bacterial SSU rRNA". It matches the Rfam family "Bacterial small subunit ribosomal RNA", at positions 1 to 507 of the family's 1533-position model. The record is from RNAcentral.
ACGUCUACGAGUUUGAUCAUGGCUCAGAAUGAACGCUGGCGGCGUGGAUUAGGCAUGCAAGUCGAACGCGAAAGUCCUUUCGGGGACGAGUAGAGUGGCGAAAGGGUGAGUAAUGCUUGGAUGACCUGCCCUCGAGACGGGGACAACAGUUCGAAAGGACUGCUAAUACCCGAUAGUCCGGUGCAAACCGGUAAAUGGUGCUUCCGCUCGAGGAGGGGUUCAAGUCCUAUCAGCUUGUUGGUGAGGUAACGGCUCACCAAGGCUAUGACGGGUAGCCGGACUGAGAGGUUGGCCGGCCACAUGGGAACUGAGACACUGUCCUGACUCCUACGGGAGGCUGCAGUCGAGAAUCUUCUGCAAUGGGCGAAAGCCUGACAGAGCGACGCCGCGUGGAGGAUGAAGGCCCUCGGGUCGUAAACCCCUGUCACAUGUUAUGAAACGUACAGGUCCACCUGUGCGCUGACAAAAGCAUGAGAGGAAGUCACGGCUAACUUCGUG